This 446-nucleotide ribosomal RNA is filed under the name uncultured Streptococcus sp. RNAcentral's name for it is "bacterial SSU rRNA". It matches the Rfam family "Bacterial small subunit ribosomal RNA", at positions 933 to 1382 of the family's 1533-position model. Lineage: Bacteria; Bacillati; Bacillota; Bacilli; Lactobacillales; Streptococcaceae. The record is from RNAcentral.
UGGAGCAUGUUGGUUUAAUCGAAGCAAGCGAAGAACCUUACCAGGUCUUGACAUCCCGAUGCUAUUUCUAGAGAUAGAAAGUUACUUCGGUACAUCGGUGACAGGUGGUGCAUGGUUGUCGUCAGCUCGUGUCGUGAGAUGUUGGGUUAAGUCCCGCAACGAGCGCAACCCCUAUUGUUAGUUGCCAUCAUUCAGUUGGGCACUCUAGCGAGACUGCCGGUAAUAAACCGGAGGAAGGUGGGAUGACGUCAAAUCAUCAUGCCCCUUAUGACCUGGGCUACACACGUGCUACAAUGGUUGGUACAACGAGUUGCGAGUCGGUGACGGCGAGCUAAUCUCUUAAAGCCAAUCUCAGUUCGGAUUGUAGGCUGCAACUCGCCUACAUGAAGUCGGAAUCGCUAGUAAUCGCGGAUCAGCACGCCGCGGUGAAUACGUUCCCGGGCCUU